RNAcentral lists this non-coding RNA (28 nucleotides) under Mus musculus (house mouse). Lineage: Eukaryota; Metazoa; Chordata; Mammalia; Rodentia; Muridae. The record is from RNAcentral.
UCUUGGUGUCCUCAAAUUGAAAGCCAAG